AGUCGAGCGGGGAAGAGUAGCUUGCUACUUGACCUAGCGGCGGACGGGUGAGUAAUGCUUAGGAAUCUGCCUAUUAGUGGGGGACAACAUCUCGAAAGGGAUGCUAAUACCGCAUACGUCCUACGGGAGAAAGCAGGGGACCUUCGGGCCUUGCGCUAAUAGAUGAGCCUAAGUCGGAUUAGCUAGUUGGUGGGGUAAAGGCCUACCAAGGCGACGAUCUGUAGCGGGUCUGAGAGGAUGAUCCGCCACACUGGGACUGAGACACGGCCCAGACUCCUACGGGAGGCAGCAGUGGGGAAUAUUGGACAAUGGGGGGAACCCUGAUCCAGCCAUGCCGCGUGUGUGAAGAAGGCCUUUUGGUUGUAAAGCACUUUAAGCGAGGAGGAGGCUACCGAGAUUAAUACUCUUGGAUAGUGGACGUUACUCGCAGAAUAAGCACCGGCUAACUCUGUGCCAGCAGCCGCGGUAAUACAGAGGGUGCAAGCGUUAAUCGGAUUUACUGGGCGUAAAGCGCGCGUAGGUGGCCAAUUAAGUCAAAUGUGAAAUCCCCGAGCUUAACUUGGGAAUUGCAUUCGAUACUGGUUGGCUAGAGUAUGGGAGAGGAUGGUAGAAUUCCAGGUGUAGCGGUGAAAUGCGUAGAGAUCUGGAGGAAUACCGAUGGCGAAGGCAGCCAUCUGGCCUAAUACUGACACUGAGGUGCGAAAGCAUGGGGAGCAAACAGGAUUAGAUACCCUGGUAGUCCAUGCCGUAAACGAUGUCUACUAGCCGUUGGGGCCUUUGAGGCUUUAGUGGCGCAGCUAACGCGAUAAGUAGACCGCCUGGGGAGUACGGUCGCAGACUAAAACUCAAAUGAAUUGACGGGGGCCCGCACAAGCGGUAGAGCAUGUGGUUUAAUUCGA
Molecule: ribosomal RNA, 899 nt
Filed under: uncultured bacterium
Lineage: Bacteria
Description: bacterial SSU rRNA
Rfam family: Bacterial small subunit ribosomal RNA
Source: RNAcentral